Molecule: microRNA precursor, 200 nt
Filed under: Oryza meridionalis
Lineage: Eukaryota; Viridiplantae; Streptophyta; Magnoliopsida; Poales; Poaceae
Description: MIR812 microRNA precursor family
Rfam family: MIR812 microRNA precursor family
Source: Rfam by way of RNAcentral
UUUAAAAGCGGUCAUGAGUUUCCGUGUUUAUUUUUUAUUACCGUCUUAUUUAAAAUUUUUUAUGAUUAAUAUAUUUUUAUUAUUAAAUGAUAAAAUAUGAAUAGUAAUUUAUAAGUUACUUUAUGUUUUUUUAGCUUUUAUUUUUUAAAAAUAAAAUAGACGAUUAAAGUUAUACACAGAUACUCGUGACUGCGUUUAAA